CUUGCUGCCUGGAAGUGGAAGCAGGGCUCUCUCAUCUGUGUUGAGAAAGGCACUCAUCUGUGUAUCUAGCGAGACGGGAGAAAGUGGUCAUUUUAGAACAAGCCACCACAAGCCAGACAAAGGAAACCAAGAGAAUUUGCCAGUAGCAGAUAUACCCUCACUAGCAGAUAUACCCUAAAUGAAUGGCAAAGGAAGUCCUCUAUAACCAGAAGAAAAAGGAUUGAAAAAAGGAGUCUUAGAACACCAGGAAGAAAAGAAGAAUAAUGGAAAAAGCAAAAAUGGCAAGUUGAGCAGUGAAGUGGCAGCCUGCUGUGUUGGGGUGAUGGCCUCACUUUUGUCAUAUUAAUGUGAGAUACAUAAGCAGAGUCUCACUGUGUCGCCCAGGCUGGAGUGCAACGGC
This 400-nucleotide long non-coding RNA is filed under the name Homo sapiens (human). Its description in RNAcentral is "HSALNT0307692". Lineage: Eukaryota; Metazoa; Chordata; Mammalia; Primates; Hominidae. The record is from RNAcentral.